Molecule: long non-coding RNA, 422 nt
Organism: Chroicocephalus ridibundus (black-headed gull)
Lineage: Eukaryota; Metazoa; Chordata; Aves; Charadriiformes; Laridae
Exons: 3
Source: RefSeq, a predicted model, not a curated record
GUGCUGCAUAGCUGUCCUGAAAUGAUGACUGUCUGUCAAGUCAUCCAUCAAGGGUUGAUCAAGGAUUCACUCUGACAGAUAUCUAUGCUUAAAAUAUUGUCAUGCUACUUUCUCAUUUGGGGAUACCAAGGAAAGUGUGCUGGUGCAAGGUACCUGAAGCAUCUACUCAGCAAAUGGUGGAGAAAGUGUCAACACUCUCCUAUGCACUGAGAAAGACCUCAGCUGGACCCAAUGAUUGCUGAGAUUGUCAGCCCAGGUGAAUUGGGAAAUAUCUUCCAUGUUAUAAGAAGAAACUCUCCAAAGAGAAAGGUUUGCUACUAUACUUUGCUCUCCCUGCUUCCUAGGCCUUCUCUCCCACCAUAAUACUCCAAACAACUCUCCAUCACUAGAGAGACAGCAUUUCUGCAGGUGGUUCUAAGGUA